CCGAGUUUACAACUCCCAAACCCAAUGUGAACGUUACCAAACUGUUGCCUCGGCGGGUCACGCCCGGGUGCGUAAAAGCCCCGGAAUCAGGCGCCCGCCGGAGGAACCACCAAACUCUUUCUGUAGUCCCCUCGCGGACGUAUUCUUACAGCUCUGAGCAAAAAUUCAAAAUGAAUCA
This 178-nucleotide unclassified non-coding RNA is filed under the name soil metagenome. RNAcentral's name for it is "partial internal transcribed spacer 1". The record is from RNAcentral.